RNAcentral lists this ribosomal RNA (495 nucleotides) under uncultured Neisseria sp. RNAcentral's name for it is "bacterial SSU rRNA". It matches the Rfam family "Bacterial small subunit ribosomal RNA", at positions 32 to 507 of the family's 1533-position model. The record is from RNAcentral. Lineage: Bacteria; Pseudomonadati; Pseudomonadota; Betaproteobacteria; Neisseriales; Neisseriaceae.
GAUUUGUAACGCUGGUCGGCGAUGCUUUACUACAUGCAAGUCGGACGGCAGCGACAGAGAAGCUUGCUUCUUGGUGGCGGAGUGGCGAACGGUAGAGUAACAUAUCGGAACGUACGAGUAAUGGGGAUAACUAAUCGAAAGAUUAGCUAAUACCGCAUAUUCUCUGAGGAGGAAAGCAGGGGACCUUCGGGCCUUGCGUUAUUCGAGCGGCCGAUAUCUGAUUAGCUAGUUGGUGGGGUAAAGGCCUACCAAGGCGACGAUCAGUAGCGGGUCUGAGAGGAUGAUCCGCCACACUGGGACUGAGACACGGCCCAGACUCCUACGGGAGGCAGCAGUGGGGAAUUUUGGACAAUGGGCGCAAGCCUGAUCCAGCCAUGCCGCGUGUCUGAAGAAGGCCUUCGGGUUGUAAAGGACUUUUGUCAGGGAAGAAAAGGCUGUUGCUAAUACCGACAGUUGAUGACGGUACCUGAAGAAUACGCACUGGCUAACUACGUG